Non-coding RNA from Pangasius djambal, 73 nucleotides. The record is from the annotation of a GenBank genome assembly. Lineage: Eukaryota; Metazoa; Chordata; Actinopteri; Siluriformes; Pangasiidae.
UCCCUGGUGGUCUAGCGGCUAAGGAUCCCAUGCUCUCACUGCCGCAGCCGCGGUUCGAUUCCUGGGCAGGGAA